CCCUUAGAUGUUCUGGGCUGCACGCGCGCUACACUGAUGCGAUCAACAAGUUUUUCCUAUGUCGAUAGACACGGGUAAUCUUUUGAACUCGCAUCGUGAUGGGGAUAGAUUAUUGUAAUUAUUAAUCUUCGACGAGGAAUUCCUAGUAGGUGCAAAUCAUCAGUUUGCAUCGAUUACGUCCCUGCCCUUUGUACACACCGCCCGUCGCUGCUACCGAUUGGUUGAUCUGGUGAAUUAUUCGGACUGCCGGCUGAAGGGGUUUCCUCAUCUGCCAGCGGAAAGUCUUGUUAACCCUAUCAACUAGAGGAAGCAGAAGUCGUAACA
RNAcentral lists this ribosomal RNA (324 nucleotides) under uncultured eukaryote. RNAcentral's name for it is "partial 18S ribosomal RNA". It matches the Rfam family "Eukaryotic small subunit ribosomal RNA", at positions 1470 to 1796 of the family's 1831-position model. The record is from RNAcentral.